GUGAGUCAUCGAAUCUUUGAACGCACAUUGCGCCCCCUGGUAUUCCGGGGGGCAUGCCUGUCCGAGCGUCAUUACAACCCUCAAGCCUAGCUUGGUGUUGGGCCCCGCCGCCUGGCGGGCCCUAAAGUCAGUGGCGGUGCCGUCCGGCUCCGAGCGCAGUAGCUCUUCUCGCUCUGGACGCCUGGGCGAGUGCUUGCCAGCAACCCCCCCAUCUCUCAGGUUGACCUCGGAUCAGGUAGGGAUACCCGCUGAACUUAAGCAUAUCAAUAAGCGGAGGA
RNAcentral lists this unclassified non-coding RNA (278 nucleotides) under Pseudogymnoascus sp. RNAcentral describes it as "partial contains 5.8S ribosomal RNA, internal transcribed spacer 2, and large subunit ribosomal RNA". The stretch from base 1 to 71 matches the Rfam family "5.8S ribosomal RNA", at positions 84 to 154 of the family's 154-position model. The record is from RNAcentral. Lineage: Eukaryota; Fungi; Ascomycota; Leotiomycetes; Thelebolales; Thelebolaceae.